RNAcentral lists this ribosomal RNA (328 nucleotides) under uncultured eukaryote. Its description in RNAcentral is "partial 18S ribosomal RNA". It matches the Rfam family "Eukaryotic small subunit ribosomal RNA", at positions 1470 to 1796 of the family's 1831-position model. The record is from RNAcentral.
CCCUUAGAUGUUCUGGGCUGCACGCGCGCUACACUGAUGCGCUCAACGAGUUUACGACCUUGCCCGGAAGGGUUGGGUAAUCUUUUUAAAACGCAUCGUGAUGGGGAUAGAUUAUUGCAAUUAUUAAUCUUUAACGAGGAAUUCCUAGUAAGCGCGAGUCAUCAGCUCGCGCUGAAUACGUCCCUGCCCUUUGUACACACCGCCCGUCGCUCCUACCGAUUGAGUGGUCCGGUGAGGCUUUGGGAUCUGAGCGGAAAGAGCGUUUCGCUGUUUCUGCUCGGAAAACUCAGUCGAACCUUAUCAUUUAGAGGAAGGAGAAGUCGUAACA